This 759-nucleotide long non-coding RNA is filed under the name Pan troglodytes (chimpanzee). RNAcentral describes it as "long non-coding RNA NONPTRT017625". Lineage: Eukaryota; Metazoa; Chordata; Mammalia; Primates; Hominidae. The record is from RNAcentral.
CAGGGCCACUCUUCCUGCCCAGGUAAGGUGGAAACCAGGGGGCGGCAGAACCUCCCACUCACCCGAGGCCCCUACUGCCACUCACAGGGCCAGGCUUGCCCCAGGCUCUGGGUCAAUACCAGUUCCCUACUCAUCUGGUUUCUUGGCAAGCCUGUCAGCUUCCCUGCCUCGGGUCCCUUCAUUCCACUUCCACAGCCAAAGAUCUGUCGGGUACCCCUGACCAUCUCUCCUCUGCCCAUGGGCAGCAGCAGGCCCUGAAUCUGCCCCUGCUUCUCCCUGCUGUCACCUCUUGGCAUGCCCACCCAAUCUUGUUCUGCCAAUAUGGAACCCCCCGCAGGUCUGCAGUGCACCAAGCUCUCCCGCCUUCCCUCUGCAGGUCCGAGGUGCACCGAGCUCUCCCGCCUUCAGUCUCUGCUCUGCUUGGAGCACUUCCCUCCACCCUUCUCGGGAGUUUGAAUCUAGAUCUGCCUGACCCAGGGCCUCCACUCUUGCUCCUGUGCAGCCCUGCCUCUCAGGUGGAAGCAACUGAGCACCUCUGGGUGUGCUCCGUGGUUUUUCUGGCCUGCAGAGGGCUGGGACUGAGAGGCAACAGGUCCAGGCUGAGCAGCUCACUCUGGAAUCCACAGGCUCGGGAUGGAGUCCAGGCCUCAUCACCUAGUUCCUUGGUGCUGUGGGCAAAUGACCUGUGUCCCCCCCUGCAAAACCUGUGACCUCUUGGUUGAUGUCACAUGCUUCCCCAGGGCCUGGUCCAUGGUAAGG